GCGGGAAGAGCUCAAAUUUGAAAUCUGGCAGUCUUCGAUUGUCCGAGUUGUAAUCUAUAGAGGCGUUUUCCGUGCCGGACCGUGUCCAAGUCUCCUGGAAAGGAGUAUCAAAGAGGGUGAUAAUCCCGUACUUAACACGACCACCGGUGCUCUGUGAUACGUCUUCUACGAGUCGAGUUGUUUGGGAAUGCAGCUCAAAAUGGGUGGUGAAUUCCAUCUAAAGCUAAAUAUUGGCGAGAGACCGAUAGCGAACAAGUACCGUGAGGGAAAGAUGAAAAGCACUUUGGAAAGAGAGUUAAACAGUACGUGAAAUUGUUGAAAGGGAAACGAUUGAAGUCAGUCGUGUUCUUUGGAUUCAGCCAGUUCUGCUGGUCUACUUCCUUGGAACGGGUCAACAUCAGUUUUGUCCGGUGGAUAAAGGUAGUAGGAAUGUGACUUCUCCGGAAGUGUUAUAGCCUAUUAUCACAUACACUGGGUGAGACUGAGGACUGCAGCUCGCCUUUAUGGCCGGUCUUCGGACACGUUCGAGCUUAGGAUGUUGACAUAAUGGCUUUAAACGACCCGUCUU
RNAcentral lists this ribosomal RNA (568 nucleotides) under Trichosporon japonicum. RNAcentral's name for it is "partial large subunit ribosomal RNA". It matches the Rfam family "Eukaryotic large subunit ribosomal RNA", at positions 98 to 655 of the family's 3401-position model. Lineage: Eukaryota; Fungi; Basidiomycota; Tremellomycetes; Trichosporonales; Trichosporonaceae. The record is from RNAcentral.